CCUACGGGGGGCAGCAGUAGGGAAUAUUCCACAAUGGGCGAAAGCCUGAUGGAGCAACGCCGCGUGGGUGAAGAAGGUCUUCGGAUCGUAAAACCCUGUUGUUAGAGAAGAAAGUGCGUGAGAGUAACUGUUCACGUUUCGACGGUAUCUAACCAGAAAGCCACGGCUAACUACGUGCCAGCAGCCGCGGUAAUACGUAGGUGGCAAGCGUUAUCCGGAUUUAUUGGGCGUAAAGGGAACGCAGGCGGUCUUUUAAGUCUGAUGUGAAAGCCUUCGGCUUAACCGGAGUAGUGCAUUGGAAACUGGGAGACUUGAGUGCAGAAGAGGAGAGUGGAACUCCAUGUGUAGCGGUGAAAUGCGUAGAGAUAUGGAAGAACACCAGUGGCGAAAGCGGCUCUCUGGGCUGUAACUGACGCUGAGGUUCGAAAGCGUGGGUAGCAAACAGGAUUAGAUACCCGAGUAGUC
RNAcentral lists this ribosomal RNA (465 nucleotides) under uncultured bacterium. RNAcentral describes it as "partial 16S ribosomal RNA". It matches the Rfam family "Bacterial small subunit ribosomal RNA", at positions 338 to 795 of the family's 1533-position model. The record is from RNAcentral.